This 460-nucleotide ribosomal RNA is filed under the name uncultured bacterium. Its description in RNAcentral is "partial 16S ribosomal RNA". It matches the Rfam family "Bacterial small subunit ribosomal RNA", at positions 338 to 795 of the family's 1533-position model. The record is from RNAcentral.
CCUACGGGAGGCUGCAGUGGGGAAUAUUGGUCAAUGGGCGUAAGCCUGAACCAGCCAAGCCGCGUGAGGGAUGAAGGUUCUAUGGAUCGUAAACCUCUUUUAUAAGGAAGUAACGUGCGGGACGUGUCCCGUUUUGUAUGUACCUUAUGAAUAAGGAUCGGCUAACUCCGUGCCAGCAGCCGCGGUAAUCCGGAGGAUCUGAGCGUUAUCCGGAUUUAUUGGGUUUAAGGGGUUCGUAGCCGGCCUUUUAAUUCCGCGGUGAACGUCUGUGGUUCAAACAUAGAAUUGCGGUUGAAACUGGGAGGCUUGAGUAUGUUUGAGGCAGGCGGAAUGCGUGGUGUAGCGGUGAAAUGCGUAGAUAUCACGCAGAACCCCGAUUGCGAAGGCAGCCUGCCAAGCCAUGACUGACGCUGAUGCACGAAAGCGUGGGGAUCAAACAGGAUUAGAUACCCGGGUAGUC